RNAcentral lists this long non-coding RNA (822 nucleotides) under Mus pahari (shrew mouse). RNAcentral's name for it is "predicted gene 15945 (MGP_PahariEiJ_G0002757.1)". The record is from RNAcentral. Lineage: Eukaryota; Metazoa; Chordata; Mammalia; Rodentia; Muridae.
CUGGGGAGGCAGUGUGGCUGUCAGACACAGUCUGCUCCAAAUGGGGCUGGCCACCGCCUAAGUGAGCAGGAAGAACUCCUGGGCAGGGCACAUGAGCCCUCUUACCCAGGACACAGCCUGUCUGUGAGUUUAAAGCCCCAUCUGUGUAAACGUUCCUGUCCAGAUGUGGCCUCUGGAUGGGAAAAUGCACAUCUGCAGGGCUGUGUUUACUGAACGUGAAUGUGGAUCCUGUAUCAACCUGGCCUGCAACCUACUACGUAGACACGGCUGGAUCUGAACUCAAAGAUCCGCCUGUCUCCCUGAAUGCUUAAAGGGUGUCACUGUGCCCAGCAGAACUGGGCACUUUGAAAGGGUAAACUGUGUGCUGGGAAAAUUAGCUCCACCAACUGCUCAAAACAAAAACCAGGAAGAGCCGUAGGAGCCUGGGAGCCCUGCAAGCGGUGACCCUGCCGUGUGCAGCCAGCAACAGAGGCCACGGCCAUGCCUUACACGGCUCUGUAAUCAUAUUACUUCUGUGUAUGAGGAAUGAAGUUUUCAAAGAUCCCAACAGUGGCGAAGGAGAAUCUCAAGGUCAAGGCUGACCACACCCAGACUGACCCAGGCUGGGCCCCCGGGUCAAGGCUUACGGGGCAGCAACCCCACACAUACCUUUUGGGCUUGCUGACCCCUCUCAUUCUCAGGUCAGUCUCCGCCUUCUGCAGCUCCACCUGUGCCUCUGCCACCUGUGCCUUCUUUGUCUCAAUCUGUGAAGAAGCGAACGCUUGCACGGCUGCUUCCAUCCCCACUCAGGCUUGUCCUGAGGAUUUCCAUCCACAGCUAUUG